UUACCUUUAAGUGAAAUUUUUGUACCCCUCGUUGACACAAGCAAAACUGCAACGAUUAAACAGGUGCAUAUCCGUGGAAUGUCAAGGAUUUCUCGCCUCAUAAUGCUGAGGGAGUUAAUAUAAAGAUUUAUUUAUAUGCCAGUACAGGUUUCCUACUUAUAAAUCCAAUCACUAUAGUAAAAAUCACAGAAAAACAUUUGAUUACACCAUGUGCUUCUUCUCGCGAGGGGAACUC
This 235-nucleotide long non-coding RNA is filed under the name Mytilus galloprovincialis (Mediterranean mussel). The record is from RNAcentral. Lineage: Eukaryota; Metazoa; Mollusca; Bivalvia; Mytilida; Mytilidae.